RNAcentral lists this transfer RNA (95 nucleotides) under Rhizoctonia solani. It matches the Rfam family "tRNA". From Rfam's summary of the family: Transfer RNA (tRNA) molecules are approximately 80 nucleotides in length. Their secondary structure includes four short double-helical elements and three loops (D, anti-codon, and T loops). Further hydrogen bonds mediate the characteristic L-shaped molecular structure. tRNAs have two regions of fundamental functional importance: the anti-codon, which is responsible for specific mRNA codon recognition, and the 3' end, to which the tRNAs corresponding amino acid is attached (by aminoacyl-tRNA synthetases). tRNAs cope with the degeneracy of the genetic code in two manners: having more than one tRNA (with a specific anti-codon) for a particular amino acid; and 'wobble' base-pairing, i.e. permitting non-standard base-pairing at the 3rd anti-codon position. The record is from Rfam by way of RNAcentral. Lineage: Eukaryota; Fungi; Basidiomycota; Agaricomycetes; Cantharellales; Ceratobasidiaceae.
ACGUUGAUGGUGAAAUGGUUAUCAUCCUUGCCUUCCACUGACUGCUUACGUAAUCAAGAGAGCAAGGGGCGGGGGUUCGAUUCCCCCUCAACGUA